This 2051-nucleotide ribosomal RNA is filed under the name Salmonella enterica subsp. enterica serovar Newport. Its description in RNAcentral is "partial 23S ribosomal RNA". It matches the Rfam family "Bacterial large subunit ribosomal RNA", at positions 144 to 2215 of the family's 2925-position model. Lineage: Bacteria; Pseudomonadati; Pseudomonadota; Gammaproteobacteria; Enterobacterales; Enterobacteriaceae. The record is from RNAcentral.
CACACUAUCAUUAACUGAAUCCAUAGGUUAAUGAGGCGAACCGGGGGAACUGAAACAUCUAAGUACCCCGAGGAAAAGAAAUCAACCGAGAUUCCCCCAGUAGCGGCGAGCGAACGGGGAGGAGCCCAGAGCCUGAAUCAGCAUGUGUGUUAGUGGAAGCGUCUGGAAAGGCGCGCGAUACAGGGUGACAGCCCCGUACACAAAAGCGCAUGUGCUGUGAGCUCGAUGAGUAGGGCGGGACACGUGGUAUCCUGUCUGAAUAUGGGGGGACCAUCCUCCAAGGCUAAAUACUCCUGACUGACCGAUAGUGAACCAGUACCGUGAGGGAAAGGCGAAAAGAACCCCGGCGAGGGGAGUGAAAAAGAACCUGAAACCGUGUACGUACAAGCAGUGGGAGCACAGGUUUACCUGUGUGACUGCGUACCUUUUGUAUAAUGGGUCAGCGACUUAUAUUCUGUAGCAAGGUUAACCGAAUAGGGGAGCCGGAGGGAAACCGAGUCUUAAUUGGGCGUUAAGUUGCAGGGUAUAGACCCGAAACCCGGUGAUCUAGCCAUGGGCAGGUUGAAGGUUGGGUAACACUAACUGGAGGACCGAACCGACUAAUGUUGAAAAAUUAGCGGAUGACCUGUGGCUGGGGGUGAAAGGCCAAUCAAACCGGGAGAUAGCUGGUUCUCCCCGAAAGCUAUUUAGGUAGCGCCUCGUGAAUUCAUCUCCGGGGGUAGAGCACUGUUUCGGCUAGGGGGCCAUCCCGGCUUACCAACCCGAUGCAAACUGCGAAUACCGGAGAAUGUUAUCACGGGAGACACACGGCGGGUGCUAACGUCCGUCGUGAAGAGGGAAACAACCCAGACCGCCAGCUAAGGUCCCAAAGUCAUGGUUAAGUGGGAAACGAUGUGGGAAGGCCCAGACAGCCAGGAUGUUGGCUUAGAAGCAGCCAUCAUUUAAAGAAAGCGUAAUAGCUCACUGGUCGAGUCGGCCUGCGCGGAAGAUGUAACGGGGCUAAACCAUGCACCGAAGCUGCGGCAGCGACACUCAGGUGUUGUUGGGUAGGGGAGCGUUCUGUAAGCCUGCGAAGGUGGCCUGUGAGGGUUGCUGGAGGUAUCAGAAGUGCGAAUGCUGACAUAAGUAACGAUAAAGCGGGUGAAAAGCCCGCUCGCCGGAAGACCAAGGGUUCCUGUCCAACGUUAAUCGGGGCAGGGUGAGUCGACCCCUAAGGCGAGGCCGAAAGGCGUAGUCGAUGGGAAACGGGUUAAUAUUCCCGUACUUGGUGUUACUGCGAAGGGGGGACGGAGAAGGCUAUGUUGGCCGGGCGACGGUUGUCCCGGUUUAAGCGUGUAGGUGUGUGUUCCAGGUAAAUCCGGUUCACUUUAACACUGAGGCGUGAUGACGAGGCACUACGGUGCUGAAGCAACAAAUGCCCUGCUUCCAGGAAAAGCCUCUAAGCAUCAGGUAACAUCAAAUCGUACCCCAAACCGACACAGGUGGUCAGGUAGAGAAUACCAAGGCGCUUGAGAGAACUCGGGUGAAGGAACUAGGCAAAAUGGUGCCGUAACUUCGGGAGAAGGCACGCUGACACGUAGGUGAAGUGAUUUACUCAUGGAGCUGAAGUCAGUCGAAGAUACCAGCUGGCUGCAACUGUUUAUUAAAAACACAGCACUGUGCAAACACGAAAGUGGACGUAUACGGUGUGACGCCUGCCCGGUGCCGGAAGGUUAAUUGAUGGGGUCAGCGCAAGCGAAGCUCCUGAUCGAAGCCCCGGUAAACGGCGGCCGUAACUAUAACGGUCCUAAGGUAGCGAAAUUCCUUGUCGGGUAAGUUCCGACCUGCACGAAUGGCGUAAUGAUGGCCAGGCUGUCUCCACCCGAGACUCAGUGAAAUUGAACUCGCUGUGAAGAUGCAGUGUACCCGCGGCAAGACGGAAAGACCCCGUGAACCUUUACUAUAGCUUGACACUGAACAUUGAGCCUUGAUGUGUAGGAUAGGUGGGAGGCUUUGAAGUGUGGACGCCAGUCUGCAUGGAGCCGACCUUGAAAUACCACCCUUUAAUGUUU